GCCUCGGUAGCUCAGCCGGCAGAGCGCGUGCCUUUUAAGCCCGUGGCCGCGGGUUCGAGCCCCGCCCGAGGUG
Molecule: non-coding RNA, 73 nt
Organism: Perkinsus marinus ATCC 50983
Lineage: Eukaryota; Perkinsozoa; Perkinsida; Perkinsidae
Source: Rfam